AUAGUAUAGUAUAGUAUAGUAUAGUAUAUAUUAUAGUAAAGUGUAAUCGUUUGGCUUAGCCAGCUGGCAGCUUGCUAGAGACCAGCUGUAAAAGGAAAAGGACAAUGUUUUGAGCAUUCUAGGACUGUGGUUCUCUCUGCUCCCCACCCUGCAACCUGCAAGAAGUGAUGGAAAAGUUACGUAAAAAUAAGAAAAUGCAUGUUUUCCCCCACAUUACCACUGGGACUUCAUACACAGCAGCUUAAGAUAAAUGUAAUCAGUAAGAGGCAAGAGAAUAUUAUUUGUAACACCCACAUAUAUAUAAUUGGUUCUGAGUUAUGGGAGGUGAUGCCUUAGAAUAGUGGUUUUAAACCUGUGUUCCAAGGAAUCCUUGCACUCCCAUCUGUUCUGCUUCAGUAUAAUGACCAAUCUCUGCCCCCUGAAAACUAAAGUUGUGAGAGCGUGUUGUUUGCUGUAAUGCACACACUCAUUUGAUGCAGUGCAACAGCUACCACAUAGUCUCAUGCGCGCAACCCAGAACAUAAUUCCAGCAUGAAUAGGUCCCACAGCAGGUGAAAAAAGUUCCCUGAAAGCUGUAAGUUUGAAAUCCACUGCUGCUUAGACUAUUGGUGCUUGUGAUUUAUAAUGCAUAAUAAAUUAAGCAGUGAGGGGGGAGGAAGCAGAAAAACGCAACAAGUUGUAAAAUAAUAUUUUCAUGUUUUAGGCACAAAAUUUAUAAAGCCAAAGUACCUACUUUUCUCAAACAGGGUAUGAAUGUUCAGCAAAAGAAUGUAUUUUUCAUGCUGUAAGGCUGUGCUUAGACUGUGGCACAAUUCUUAAGGCACAUUCGUCGAAGUAGGGAAAUUGUAUUAAAACAUUCUGCAACAUUUGGUUCAGUUACUGGUGCAUUAACAAAUAUUUGGUGCAUCAGCACAAAAUCACAAACCAAAAGCAUUAAAAUAAUGUGCAGAUAAUACAUGUGCAAAUACUUUAGAUUAGGAUAUUAAAAGUUUAGCAAUGCUCUCAUGAUACCAUUUGAUUGCAUAUCUCCCAGGCAGGACCAGCCUUUGGCUCUUCAGAUUCUUGAAGAGUUUCCUUACUUCCUAGUAGUGUUCAUAGAGUUAGACCAUAAAUCCUUGCUAUUUAUGUUAUUAGUUAAAAUAAUUCUGCAAUCCUAUGCUUACUUGAGAGAAAAUUGCAUUGAAGAGAGUGGAACUUACUUCUGAGUAAACAUGCAGGGAAUCAACAGUAUGCUUCUUGCUUCCUAGAUCUACCUAAAUUAGAAAAUUCUCCACUUCAGUCAAGUGGGUAAUCCUAAUAACUUGAAGAACCACUCAAGCAAAUAUUAAGUACCUUUGCAAAUAUGUUUAGUAUAUAGGAUUCUAUUUUUUCAUAAAAAGUUACAUUGUUUUGCAGUUAUUUAUAUACCUAGUAGAACUUGAAGCUAUACUGUUGCAUUAAGCAUUUUUGCCUUUUGUCAGAACUGCAACAAGCUGGUUUCAGUUGCAGUUUAUCUUUAGAAUUUUUUUUAUCAUUGCAAUGGUUUUGCUUUGAAUUACUUUAACAUUAUAAUAUGUAAAGCACCAAAGGUCUAGCUGUUUUUCGUUAAUAAAGUUGCAUAUUUAAGCAAAUACCAUGUUUAUAUUCCAUAUUGUUAUAGCGUGAACACAGAUAUCUCUGUACUCUUUAAAUGAAUGUACAUAUCUAUAGCAACAGAACUAAAAUACUAUGCGAAGUUCUCUCACAGCUCUGGAUUCAAAAUUUGCUCUUUUUCUGGGUGCAAGCUAUUUUCAUCUUUUUCCUGAAGCAGUAAAAGAUAAUAAUGAAGAGAGAACAUUUUACAGAGGGUGGAAACACUAUAGAAUAUAGAUGAAUGCAGUUGUCUGAAACAACUACUAGUAAAGGGUUUGGCCAGAAAAUAAAGAGAAAGGUACAAUCUACCUUUUACUCUUUUUUAUAGUAAACUUCUGGUGCUGUUACUGAGACUAGAUGGUUUUAUUCGCAAUUGUAUUUCUGGGUUUUAAAAAAUGCAGUUGAACAUAAAAUGAAUGCUCAUCAAUAUAUCUUAUGGCAAGAUUGCACUAGAAAUUAUGCUGGUAUUGGUUUUAAAAUAGGUACAGUUUGUUUUAACUAAAAA
This is a long non-coding RNA of Podarcis raffonei (Aeolian wall lizard), 2116 nucleotides long. RefSeq lists it as uncharacterized. NCBI's taxonomy places the organism in Eukaryota, Metazoa, Chordata, Lepidosauria, Squamata, Lacertidae. The record is from RefSeq and is a predicted model, not a curated record. The transcript is spliced from 2 exons.